Molecule: ribosomal RNA, 207 nt
Filed under: uncultured bacterium
Lineage: Bacteria
Description: partial 16S ribosomal RNA
Rfam family: Bacterial small subunit ribosomal RNA
Source: RNAcentral
UAGGUAGGUGGUUACGUAUGUCUGGGGUGAAAUCCCUGAGCUCAACUCAGGACGUGCCUUGGAAACGGCGUAACUAGAGUACUAGAGAGGUUCGUGGAAUUCCAGGUGUAGCGGUGAAAUGCGUAGAGAUCUGGAGGAACAUCAGCGGCGAAGGCGACGAACUGGAUAGUAACUGACACUGAACUACGAAAGCGUGGGGAGCAAACA